UACGUAGGGGCCUAGGCGUUGUCCGGAUUUAUUGGGCGUAAAGAGCUCGUAGGCGGUUCGGCAAGUCAUGUGUGAAAUCUCCACGCUCAACGUGGAGGGGCCACCUGGAUACUGCCGUGACUCGAGUCCGGUAGGGGAGUGUGGAAUUCCGCGUGUAGCAGUGAAAUGGCGUAGAUAUGCGGAGGAACACCGAUGGCGAAGGCAAUCCCCUG
This 212-nucleotide ribosomal RNA is filed under the name uncultured bacterium. RNAcentral's name for it is "partial 16S ribosomal RNA". It matches the Rfam family "Bacterial small subunit ribosomal RNA", at positions 524 to 731 of the family's 1533-position model. The record is from RNAcentral.